UAGAACGCUGAAGGAGGAGCUUGCUUCUCUGGAUGAGUUGCGAACGGGUGAGUAACGCGUAGGUAACCUGCCUGGUAGCGGGGGAUAACUAUUGGAAACGAUAGCUAAUACCGCAUAAGAGUAGAUGUCGCAUGACAUUUGCUUAAAAGAUGCAAUUGCAUCACUACCAGAUGGACCUGCGUUGUAUUAGCUAGUUGGUGGGGUAACGGCUCACCAAGGCAACGAUACAUAGCCGACCUGAGAGGGUGAUCGGCCACACUGGGACUGAGACACGGCCCAGACUCCUACGGGAGGCAGCAGUAGGGAAUCUUCGGCAAUGGACGGAAGUCUGACCGAGCAACGCCGCGUGAGUGAAGAAGGUUUUCGGAUCGUAAAGCUCUGUUGUAAGAGAAGAACGAGUGUGAGAGUGGAAAGUUCACACUGUGACGGUAUCUUACCAGAAAGGGACGGCUAACUACGUGCCAGCAGCCGCGGUAAUACGUAGGUCCCGAGCGUUGUCCGGAUUUAUUGGGCGUAAAGCGAGCGCAGGCGGUUAGAUAAGUCUGAAGUUAAAGGCUGUGGCUUAACCAUAGUACGCUUUGGAAACUGUUUAACUUGAGUGCAAGAGGGGAGAGUGGAAUUCCAUGUGUAGCGGUGAAAUGCGUAGAUAUAUGGAGGAACACCGGUGGCGAAAGCGGCUCUCUGGCUUGUAACUGACGCUGAGGCUCGAAAGCGUGGGGAGCAAGCAGGAUUAGAUACCCUGGUAGUCCACGCCGUAAACGAUGAGUGCUAGGUGUUAGACCCUUUCCGGGGUUUAGUGCCGCAGCUAACGCAUUAAGCACUCCGCCUGGGGAGUACGACCGCAAGGUUGAA
Molecule: ribosomal RNA, 852 nt
Filed under: uncultured Streptococcus sp.
Lineage: Bacteria; Bacillati; Bacillota; Bacilli; Lactobacillales; Streptococcaceae
Description: bacterial SSU rRNA
Rfam family: Bacterial small subunit ribosomal RNA
Source: RNAcentral